UACGAAGGGGGCUAGCGUUGCUCGGAAUUACUGGGCGUAAAGGGCGCGUAGGCGGCCGAUCAAGUCAGGCGUGAAAUUCCCGGGCUCAACCUGGGGGCUGCGCUUGAGACUGGUUGGCUAGAGGCCGAGAGAGGGUGGUGGAAUUCCCAGUGUAGAGGUGAAAUUCGUAGAUAUUGGGAAGAACACCGGUGGCGAAGGCGGCCACCUGGCUCGGUACUGACGCUGAGGCGCGACAGCGUGGGGAGCAGACAGG
This 253-nucleotide ribosomal RNA is filed under the name uncultured bacterium. RNAcentral's name for it is "partial 16S ribosomal RNA". It matches the Rfam family "Bacterial small subunit ribosomal RNA", at positions 524 to 776 of the family's 1533-position model. The record is from RNAcentral.